Molecule: ribosomal RNA, 253 nt
Filed under: uncultured bacterium
Lineage: Bacteria
Description: partial 16S ribosomal RNA
Rfam family: Bacterial small subunit ribosomal RNA
Source: RNAcentral
UACGUAGAUGGCAAGCGUUGUCCGGAUUUACUGGGCGUAAAGAGCGCGCAGGCGGUCGUUCAAGUCGCGUGUGAAAGCCCCCGGCUCAACUGGGGAGGGUCACGCGAUACUGAUCGACUCGAAGGCAGGAGAGGGAAGUGGAAUUCCAGGUGUAGCGGUGAAAUGCGUAGAUAUCUGGAGGAACACCGGUGGCGAAGGCGGCAUUCUGGACUGCAACUGACACUGAACGACGAAAGCCAGGGGAGCAAACGGG